UCAGCAGUUGUACCACUGAUGUU
This 23-nucleotide microRNA is filed under the name Lingula anatina. RNAcentral's name for it is "Lan-Mir-1992_3p (mature (guide))". Lineage: Eukaryota; Metazoa; Brachiopoda; Lingulata; Lingulida; Lingulidae. The record is from RNAcentral.